ACCCGAAGCGGGGUGAUCUACCCAUGGCCAGUGUGAAGCAGCUGUAAGAGGUUGUGGAGGCGCGAACCCACUUAGGUUGAAAACUGAGGGGAUGAGCUGUGGGUAGGGGUGAAAGGCCAAUCAAACUCCGUGAUAGCUGGUUCUCCCCGAAAUGCAUUUAGGUGCAGCGUUAUACAAGCUUGCUGGAGGUAGAGCUACUGGUUGGUUGAGCGGGACUAUCAUCUUAGCAAUGUCAGCCAAACUCCGAAUGCCGGUUAAAAGUGGUGUAUAGCAGUGAGACUGUGGGGGAUAAGCUUCAUAGUCGAGAGGGAAACAGCCCAGAUCGCCGGUUAAGGCCCCUAAGGGUGUACUAAGUGGAAAAGGAUGUAGGAUCGCGAAGACAGCCAGGAGGUUGGCUUAGAAGCAGCCACCCUUGAAAGAGUGCGUAAUAGCUCACUGGUCGAGUGGUUCCGCGCCGACAAUUUAGUGGGGCUCAAGUACACCGCCGAAGCCGCGGCAUAGUUUUUACUAUGGGUAGGGGAGCGUCGUGUGUGGGGUGAAGCAUUACCGUAAGGGGGUGUGGACUGCACGCGAGUGAGAAUGCAGGCAUGAGUAACGAAUGAUACGUGAGAAUCGUAUCCGCCGAAUGACGAAGGGUUCCUGGGUCAAGUUCGUCUUCCCAGGGUGAGUCGGGUCCUAAGGCGAGGCCGACAGGCGUAGUCGAUGGUCAACGGGUUGAUAUUCCCGUACCCGCCUACACGCGACCAAUGCUGAAGCAAUGAUACUAACCACCCAAAGCUACUGAUAUACGCACCCUUGUGGUGUGUGGUUGGUGGUGAUGCGUGGGGCCUGAUUUGUUGUAGGUAAGUGAUGGGGUGACGCAGAGUGGUAGCCACGCCAGUUAUUGGAUUCUGGUGCAAGCGUGCAGCACGACAACAUGGCAAAUCCGGUUGUUAUAUGUGCAAGGCGUGAUGCGUAGCCCAUAUAUGGGUGAUGGUGGUGAUCCUGUGCUGCCGAGAAAAGCCUCUAGCGAUGUGUGUAGACGGCCCGUACCCGAAACCGACACAGGUAGUCAGGUAGAGCAUACUAAGGCGAGCGGGUGAACUGUGGUUAAGGAACUCGGCAAAAUGCCCCCGUAACUUCGGGAGAAGGGGGACCCAAACCGGUAGCUAAUCCUUGCGGUUAGUGUGCUGGUGUGGGUCGCAGAGAAGAGAGGGGAGCGACUGUUUAUCAAAAACACAGGUCCGUGCGAAGACGGUUAAGUUGAUGUAUACGGACUGACGCCUGCCCGGUGCUGGAAGGUUAAGAGGACCUGUUAGACCCUUUUGGGUCGAAGCGGAGAAUUUAAGCCCCAGUAAACGGCGGUGGUAACUAUAACCAUCCUAAGGUAGCGAAAUUCCUUGUCGGGUAAGUUCCGACCUGCACGAAUGGCGUAACGACUCCCCUGCUGUCUCAACCACAGGCCCGGUGAAAUUGCAGUACGAGUAAAGAUGCUCGUUUCGCGCGGCAGGACGAAAAGACCCCGGGACCUUCACUACAGCUUGGUAUUGGUGUUCGGUGCGGUUUGUGUAGGAUAGGUGGGAGACGUUGAUACAGCCACGCCAGUGGUUGUGGAGUCGUUGUUGAAAUACCACUCUGACCGUAGUGGAUACCUGAACCUUGGCCCAUGAUCUGGGUUGGGGACAGUGCCUGGUGGGUAGUUUAACUGGGGCGGUUGCCUCCCAAAAUGUAACGGAGGCGCCCAAAGGUUCCCUCAGCCUGGUUGGCAAUCAGGUGUUUAGAGUGUAAGUGCACAAGGGAGCUUGACUGCGAGACUUACAAGUCGAGCAGGGACGAAAGUCGGGACUAGUGAUCCGGCACCUACUUGUGGAUGUGGUGUCGCUCAACGGAUAAAAGGUACCCCGGGGAUAACAGGCUGAUCUUCCCCAAGAGUCCAUAUCGACGGGAUGGUUUGGCACCUCGAUGUCGGCUCGUCGCAUCCUGGGGCUGGAGUAGGUCCCAAGGGUUGGGCUGUUCGCCCAUUAAAGCGGCACGCGAGCUGGGUUCAGAACGUCGUGAGACAGUUCGGUCUCUAUCCGCCGCGCGCGUUGAAACUUGAAGAAGGCUGUCCCUAGUACGAGAGGACCGGGACGGACGUACCUCUAGUGUGCCAGUUGUUCCGCCAGGAGCAUCGCUGGUUGGCUACGUACGGAAGGGAUAACCGCUGAAAGCAUCUAAGCGGGAAGCCUGUUUUAAGAUGAGGUUUCAUUAUAGGUGCCCUAUAGACUAUGGGGUUGAUAGGCCAGAACUGGAAACACAGCAAUGUGAUGAGGUGACUGGUACUAAUCCACCAACACAAACAACAACA
This 2326-nucleotide ribosomal RNA is filed under the name Corynebacterium sp. HMSC30G07. RNAcentral describes it as "bacterial LSU rRNA". It matches the Rfam family "Bacterial large subunit ribosomal RNA", at positions 713 to 2925 of the family's 2925-position model. The record is from RNAcentral. Lineage: Bacteria; Bacillati; Actinomycetota; Actinomycetes; Mycobacteriales; Corynebacteriaceae.